GACGAACGCUGGCGGCGUGCUUAACACAUGCAAGUCGAACGGACAGGCCUCUUUCGGGGGGUACUCGAGUGGCGAACGGGUGAGUAACAAGUGAGUAACUUACCCUUGACUUUGGGAUAGCUUACGGAAACUGGGGCGAAUAACGGCUAGGUGCUCCUGCUGCAUGGAGGGGGUUGGAAAGAAUCGGCGGUUGGGGAUGGACUCGCGGCGUAUCGGCUGGUUGGUGGGGGAGUGGCUUACCAAGGCCUUGACGGGUAGCCGGCCUGAGAGGGUGACCGGCCACAUUGGGACUGAGAUACGGCCCAGACUCCUACGGGAGGCAGCAGUGGGGAAUAUUGCACAAUGGGUGGAAGCCGGAUGCAGCAACGCCGUGGGCGGGAGGACGGCCUUCGGGUUGUAAACCGCUUUCGCUCAUGACGAAGCUUUGUGUGACGGUAGUGGGUAAAGAAGCACCGGCUAACUACGUG
This 467-nucleotide ribosomal RNA is filed under the name uncultured bacterium. RNAcentral describes it as "partial 16S ribosomal RNA". It matches the Rfam family "Bacterial small subunit ribosomal RNA", at positions 28 to 507 of the family's 1533-position model. The record is from RNAcentral.